AGCGUCAACCACGUAAAAGAAAAAACGCGCCAACUGUUGUUCCAAAAAGCAUCGGAUUGGAAUUGGAUUAGAAAUCCCCUGCGGGAUCCAGCUGUGCCUGCCCUAACUUUCGAUCCCAACUUUCCCCAAUCUUCACUGCCCUAGUUUUCGAUCCCAGCUUUCCCCGAUCUCGACUCUCGGUCUCGAGUUUGCGCACACUCCGGCGAACAUGGCAGCGAUCAUGGCGGGGCGCGGGCAGGGGCUGGAGCAAGAUUUCGAUUUCUUCGUGGUGGUCGACUUCGAGCCGACGUGCGUCAAAGACGCGCGGAUCUUCCCCCAGGAAAUCAUUGAGUUCCCCGCCGUGCUCGUCGACGGCGCCACCGGCCGCAUCGAGUCCGCGUUUCGCAGGUACGUUCGUCCAAAGCAUCACCCUGUGCUGACCCAGUUUUGCAGGGAACUCACCGGUAUCCGGCAGGAGGACGUCGACGGCGGUGUGGAUCUCGGCGAGGCGCUCUGGCUGCACGACGCUUGGCUGAAGGCGGCGACGGCGGGGGCAGGGAACAAGAGACGCGUCCGCUUGGCCGUUGUGACCUGGGGUGACUGGGAUUGCCGGAGCAUGCUAGAGUUUGAGUGCCGCUUCAAGGGCAUCGAGAAGCCCUCCUACUUCGAUCAGUGGAUCAAUUUGAGAGUCCCCUUCCAGGAGGCGCUCGUCGGCGGAGGGAGGGUUAACCUGCAGGAGGCGGUCCGGGCGGCGGGGUUGGACUGGGAGGGCCGCCUGCACUGUGGACUCGACGAUGCGUGCCACACGGCGCGGCUGCUUGCUGAGAUCAUGCGGCGCGGGGUCAAGAUGACCAUCACCGGCUCGCUGGCGCCGCCGCCGCCGGUCCAGCAAUAGCAGCAGCUGCCGCAGCUUCUCACAAGCCGUUGCGGUGGCUCAUCUGCGCUGGCGCCUCCGCCGCCGACGAACCACCACCACCAGCAGCAGCCACAGCUUCACAUGAUAAGCCCCUGUGGUGGCACAUUUGCGCUGGCGCCGGCGCCGAUUCAGCAGAAGCAGCAGCCGCCGCGGCCUCACAUAAUAAGCCCCAGCGGUGGCUCCUCUGCGACGUACUGCAGGGUGGCGACCAGAGGAGGCAUAGUGCCAGGGCCGACGCAGUCUGGAUGCGGCAACUGGACGGCGGCCAUGGGAGCCGUGUGCCCCUACUUCCUGUGGACCAACUGAACCAACGAACCAGGGCAUGAGACUCAGAUUCACAAUCCUGUGUAACUCAGCUGUUAGUGUUAAUCGUGCGAGCCAUCAGAAUCAGAGUGUAGCUCGGCUGAUUCUAGCCUAGUCUAGGUGUGAAUUUGGUCUUUAGGGCUAUAUGUGUCCGAAUUAUUAUAUUAUCAAUAGAAAUUUCAUUUUAGUUA
Triticum aestivum (bread wheat) is the source of this 1389-nucleotide RNA transcript. It is a transcript of the gene named ERI1 exoribonuclease 2-like, with no coding region annotated. The record is from RefSeq and is a predicted model, not a curated record. Lineage: Eukaryota; Viridiplantae; Streptophyta; Magnoliopsida; Poales; Poaceae. The transcript has a single exon.